This 329-nucleotide ribosomal RNA is filed under the name uncultured eukaryote. RNAcentral describes it as "partial 18S ribosomal RNA". It matches the Rfam family "Eukaryotic small subunit ribosomal RNA", at positions 1470 to 1796 of the family's 1831-position model. The record is from RNAcentral.
CCCUUAGAUGUUCUGGGCCGCACGCGCGCUACACUGUUUGAUUCAGCGAGUCUUAACCUUGACCGAAAGGUUUGGGUAAUCUUCUAAAGUCAAACAUGAUGGGGAUCGAUCAUUGCAAUUAUUGAUCGUGAACGAGGAAUUCCUAGUAAAUGCAAGUCAUCAGCUUGCGUUGAUUACGUCCCUGCCCUUUGUACACACCGCCCGUCGCUACUACCGAUUGAAUGGUUUAGUGAGAUCUCCGGAUUGGCUCUGUAGGUCCCGCAAGGGAUUUAUUAGUAGCCAAGAAGCUGCUCAAACUUGAUCAUUUAGAGGAAGUAAAAGUCGUAACA